UGAGUCGGCUGAGUGGUUACUCUGAACUGUCUUGACACAUGUGUCAAGAGCGGUUCGGAGAGGAAAGUCCGGGCACCGUAGAACAGGAUGCCUCCUAACGGGAGGAGUCCCGGCUUCUUUGAUGUCGGAAUAUGGAAAGUGCAACAGAAAGUAUACCGCCUAUUAAGGCAAGGGUGAAACGGUGGUGUAAGAGACCACCAGUCCCGACCGUAAUGUCGGGAGCUUGGUAAACCCCAUCCGGUGCAAGAUCGAAUAGGCUCCGAGACGUUGUUCGCGUCGUUAUCAGGGGCGGGUAGAUCGCUAGAACCCGACGGCAACGUUGGGUCCAGAGGAAUGACCACUGCUUCUCAUCAAACUUAUUUGUUGGGAGGAACAGAACUCGGCUUAUAAGCCGGCUCAGAUG
Molecule: RNase P RNA, 403 nt
Filed under: Fidelibacterota bacterium
Lineage: Bacteria; Pseudomonadati; Fidelibacterota
Description: RNase P RNA component class A
Rfam family: Bacterial RNase P class A
About the family: Ribonuclease P (RNase P) is a ubiquitous endoribonuclease, found in archaea, bacteria and eukarya as well as chloroplasts and mitochondria. Its best characterised activity is the generation of mature 5'-ends of tRNAs by cleaving the 5'-leader elements of precursor-tRNAs.
Source: RNAcentral